GAUGAACGCUGGCGGCGUGCCUAAUACAUGCAAGUCGAACGAAACUUCUUUAUCACCGAGUGCUUGCACUCACCGAUAAAGAGUUGAGCGGCGAACGGGUGAGUAACACGUGGGCAACCUGCCCAAAAGAGGGGGAUAACACUUGGAAACAGGUGCUAAUACCGCAUAACCAUAGUUACCGCAUGGUAACUAUGUAAAAGGUGGCUAUACUACCGCUUUUGGAUGGGCCCGCGGCGCAUUAGCUAGUUGGUAGGGUAAAGGCUUACCAAGGCAAUGAUGCGUAGCCGAAUUGAGAGGUUGAUCGGCCACAUUGGGACUGAGACACGGCCCAAACUCCUACGGGAGGCAGCAGUAGGGAAUCUUCCACAAUGGGCGAAAGCCUGAUGGAGCAACGCCGCGUGGGUGAAGAAGGUCUUCGGAUCGUAAAACCCUGUUGUUAGAGAAGAAAGUGCGUGAGAGUAACUGUUCACGUUUCGACGGUAUCUAACCAGAAAGCCACUGCUAACUACGUG
This 512-nucleotide ribosomal RNA is filed under the name uncultured bacterium. Its description in RNAcentral is "partial 16S ribosomal RNA". It matches the Rfam family "Bacterial small subunit ribosomal RNA", at positions 28 to 507 of the family's 1533-position model. The record is from RNAcentral.